CGGACGGGUGAGUAAUGUCUGGGAAACUGCCUGAUGGAGGGGGAUAACUACUGGAAACGGUAGCUAAUACCGCAUAACGUCGCAAGACCGAAGAGGGGGACCUUCGGGCCUCUUGCCAUCGGAUGUGCCCAGAUGGGAUUAGCUAGUAGGUGGGGUAACGGCUCACCUAGGCGACGAUCCCUAGCUGGUCUGAGAGGAUGACCAGCCACACUGGAACUGAGACACGGUCCAG
Molecule: ribosomal RNA, 232 nt
Filed under: uncultured bacterium
Lineage: Bacteria
Description: partial 16S ribosomal RNA
Rfam family: Bacterial small subunit ribosomal RNA
Source: RNAcentral